UGGGGAAUUUUGGACAAUGGGGGAAACCCUGAUCCAGCCAUCCCGCGUGUGCGAUGAAGGCCUUCGGGUUGUAAAGCACUUUUGGCAGGAAAGAAACGUCAUGGGUUAAUACCCCGUGAAACUGACGGUACCUGCAGAAUAAGCACCGGCUAACUACGUGCCAGCAGCCGCGGUAAUACGUAGGGUGCAAGCGUUAAUCGGAAUUACUGGGCGUAAGCGUGCGCAGGCGGUUCGGAAAGAAAGAUGUGAAAUCCCAGAGCUCAACUUUGGAACUGCAUUUUUAACUACCGGGCUAGGGUGUGUCAGAGGGAGGUGGAAUUCCGCGUGUAGCAGUGAAAUGCGUAGAUAUGCGGAGGAACACCGAUGGCGAAGGCAGCCUCCUGGGAUAACACUGACGCUCAUGCACGAAAGCGUGGGGAGCAAACAGG
RNAcentral lists this ribosomal RNA (428 nucleotides) under Acidobacteriota bacterium. RNAcentral's name for it is "Acidobacteria bacterium partial 16S ribosomal RNA". It matches the Rfam family "Bacterial small subunit ribosomal RNA", at positions 355 to 776 of the family's 1533-position model. The record is from RNAcentral. Lineage: Bacteria; Pseudomonadati; Acidobacteriota.